UGAUGCGUUGUUGGGUAGGGGAGCGUUCUGUAAGCCUGCGAAGGUGGCCUGUGAGGGUUGCUGGAGGUAUCAGAAGUGCGAAUGCUGACAUAAGUAACGAUAAAGCGGGUGAAAAGCCCGCUCGCCGGAAGACCAAGGGUUCCUGUCCAACGUUAAUCGGGGCAGGGUGAGUCGACCCCUAAGGCGAGGCCGAAAGGCGUAGUCGAUGGGAAACGGGUUAAUAUUCCCGUACUUGGUGUUACUGCGAAGGGGGGACGGAGAAGGCUAUGUUGGCCGGGCGACGGUUGUCCCGGUUUAAGCGUGUAGGUGUGUGUUCCAGGUAAAUCCGGUUCACUUUAACACUGAGGCGUGAUGACGAGGCACUACGGUGCUGAAGCAACAAAUGCCCUGCUUCCAGGAAAAGCCUCUAAGCAUCAGGUAACAUCAAAUCGUACCCCAAACCGACACAGGUGGUCAGGUAGAGAAUACCAAGGCGCUUGAGAGAACUCGGGUGAAGGAACUAGGCAAAAUGGUGCCGUAACU
This 522-nucleotide ribosomal RNA is filed under the name Salmonella enterica. Its description in RNAcentral is "partial 23S ribosomal RNA". It matches the Rfam family "Bacterial large subunit ribosomal RNA", at positions 1214 to 1735 of the family's 2925-position model. Lineage: Bacteria; Pseudomonadati; Pseudomonadota; Gammaproteobacteria; Enterobacterales; Enterobacteriaceae. The record is from RNAcentral.